RNAcentral lists this unclassified non-coding RNA (228 nucleotides) under Hevea brasiliensis (rubber tree). The record is from RNAcentral. Lineage: Eukaryota; Viridiplantae; Streptophyta; Magnoliopsida; Malpighiales; Euphorbiaceae.
AUCACAUCUUGCAUACUCCCCUCGCCAUGGCCGCCGCCCAGGCGAGGGAAUCCACCCCGCCGCCGAUAAUCGGCCGCGCCGGACGCUACACCGUCUUCAUCACCCCGCCGGCGACGCCGCGUCCUUCCGAGCCGCCCCGCCCUCUCGCCUCCACCCCCAUCUCCACCCCCCGGCCGAUCCCGAGGAGCCCGGUGCCUCUCCCGCCUAAGACACCAUCGCCGCCGCCAG